Molecule: non-coding RNA, 435 nt
Organism: Galeopterus variegatus (Sunda flying lemur)
Lineage: Eukaryota; Metazoa; Chordata; Mammalia; Dermoptera; Cynocephalidae
Source: the annotation of a RefSeq genome assembly
AUGCUCCUGGUGCUCAUAUCAGUACUGGGAAUACAUUUUGCCCUGAGAGAUGCCAGAGCUCAGUCAGUGACCCAGCCUGAUGUUCAUGUCACUGUCUCUGAAGGAGCCUCUCUGGAGUUGAGAUGCAACUAUUCCCAUGGUGGAAGUCUUUAUCUCUUCUGGUAUGUCCAGUACCCACGCCAAGGCCUCCAACGUCUCCUCAAGUACUCAUCAGGGGACCCCCAGGUCAAAGGCAUUAAAGGUUUUGAGGAUGAAUUUGUGAAAAGUGAAUCUUCUUUCCACCUGAGGAAACCCUCUGUGCACUGGAGUGAUACAGCUGAGUACUUCUGUGCUUGGGUUGCCACAGUGCCUGGAACCGCAGGGGAAGCUGAACACAAACCACCCACGGUAGUGGAGUCUUCUGAGACUCAGGGUCUCUUCCUAUGGUAUUUUUAG